GGUCCUCACGGUUUUAAAGUUACGGCGUUCCGUACGUAUUAGCGUCUUUGGAAUCGAAAAUAAUAAAGAAUAAACUACAACAUAGCAUUUCCGAGGACGCAUCCAUCUUAAUACGAUUACUUUUUAGUUUUUUCAACAAAAAAAAAAACAAACGAAUAACCUCAAUAGAGCAACAAGUUGAAUUAUAUUGGUACUAGUUGUUUAAACCAAAAAUGAAAAGUUAAAAGAAAAAAAAAACAAAAAAGGGAUGCAACACGAGGACUUCCCGGGUGGUCACCCAUCCUAGUACUACUCUCGCCCAAGCACGCUUAACUGCGGAGUUCUGAUGGGAUCCGGUGCAUUAGUGCUGGUAUGAUCGCAUCCGUUAGUACAUUGCAUACAAUCGCAUAUAUCCUUUACCGAGGAUUCAAGAGAUCAUUUGUAGUGGGUCCCACUUUGAUACGUGGACCGCUUUAGCCAGCUUCAACGUGCUCUUUUAUUUGGAAAAGACGCAUAAAUCAUGUCCGAACACUUUUUCGAUCAUUUAAUCUCUUACAAAUCACAAAAACCUCAUGGAAACACACUAAACGUCAAAAUUUGGGGUCGAACACAGGGCCCAAUGGUACGAAGACCCAUUGCCACAUUGUAACUUUUCGAGAGCUUUCCGAAAAGGUAUUAUCGCCUGAAUAGGUCCUCACGGUUUUAAAGUUACGGCGUUCCGUACGUAUUAGCGUCUUUGGAAUCGAAAAUAAUAAAGAAUAAACUACAACAUAGCAUUUCCGAGGACGCAUCCAUCUUAAUACGAUUACUUUUUAGUUUUUUCAACAAAAAAAAACAAACGAACAACCUCAAUAGAGCAACAAGUUGAAUUAUAUUGGUACUAGUUGUUUAAACCAAAAAUGAAAAGUUAAAAGAAAAAAAAAAAACAAAGGGAUGCAACACGAGGACUUCCCGGGAGCUCACCCAUCCUAGUACUACUCUCGCCCAAGCACGCUUAACUGCGGAGUUCUGAUGGGAUCCGGUGCAUUAGUGCUGGUAUGAUCGCAUCCGUUAGUACAUUGCAUACAAUCGCAUAUAUCCUUUACCGAGGAUUCAAGAGAUCAUUUGUAGUGGGUCCCACUUGAUACGUGGACCGCUUUAGCCAGCUUCAACGUGCUCUUUUAUUUGGAAAAGACGCAUAAAUCAUGUCCGAACACUUUUUCGAUCAUUUAAUCUCUUACAAAUCACAAAAACCUCAUGGAAACACACUAAACGUCAAAAUUUGGGGUCGAACACAGGGCCCAAUGGUACGAAGACCCAUUGCCACAUUGUAACUUUUCGAGAGCUUUCCGAAAAGGUAUUAUCGCCUGAAUAGGUCCUCACGGUUUUAAAGUUACGGCGUUCCGUACGUAUUAGCGUCUUUGGAAUCGAAAAUAAUAAAGAAUAAACUACAACAUAGCAUUUCCGAGGACGCAUCCAUCUUAAUACGAUUACUUUUUAGUUUUUUCAACAAAAAAAAGAGAAACGAACAACCUCAAUAGAGCAACAAGUUGAAUUAUAUUGGUACUAGUUGUUUAAACCAAAAAUGAAAAGUUAAAAGAAAAAAAAAAAAAAAAAAGGGAUGCAACACGAGGACUUCCCGGGAGGUCACCCAUCCUAGUACUACUCUCGCCCAAGCACGCUUAACUGCGGAGUUCUGAUGGGAUCCGGUGCAUUAGUGCUGGUAUGAUCGCAUCCGUUAGUACAUUGCAUACAAUCGCAUAUAUCCUUUACCGAGGAUUCAAGAGAUCAUUUGUAGUGGGUCCCACUUGAUACGUGGACCGCUUUAGCCAGCUUCAACGUGCUCUUUUAUUUGGAAAAGACGCAUAAAUCAUGUCCGAACACUUUUUCGAUCAUUUAAUCUCUUACAAAUCACAAAAACCUCAUGGAAACACACUAAACGUCAAAAUUUGGGGUCGAACACAGGGCCCAAUGGAACGAAGACCCAUUGCCACACUAUAACUUUCCGAGAGCUUUCCAAAAAGGUAUUAUCGGCCGAAUAGGUCCUCACGGUUUUAAAGUUACGGCGUUCCGUACGUAUUAGCGUCUUUGGAAUCGAAAAUAAUAAAGAAUAAACUACAACAUAGCAUUUCCGAGGACGCAUCCAUCUUAAUACGAUUACUUUUUAGUUUUUUCAACAAAAAAAAGAGAAACGAACAACCUCAAUAGAGCAACAAGUUGAAUUAUAUUGGUACUAGUUGUUUAAACCAAAAAUGAAAAGUUAAAAGAAAAAAAAAAAAAAAAAAGGGAUGCAACACGAGGACUUCCCGGGAGGUCACCCAUACUAGUACUACUCUCGCCCAAGCACGCUUAACUGCGGAGUUCUGAUGGGAUCCGGUGCAUUAGUGCUGGUAUGAUCGCAUCCGUUAGUACAUUGCAUACAAUCGCAUAUAUCCUUUACCGAGGAUUCAAGAGAUCAUUUGUAGUGGGUCCCACUUGAUACGUGGACCGCUUUAGCCAGCUUCAACGUGCUCUUUUAUUUGGAAAGGACGCAUAAAUCAUGUCCGAACACUUUUUCGAUCAUUUAAUCUCUUACAAAUCACAAAAACCUCAUGGAAACACACUAAACGUCAAAAUUUGGGGUCGAACACAGGGCCCAAUGGUACGAAGACCCAUUGCCACACUAUAACUUUCCGAGAGCUUUCCAAAAAGGUAUUAUCGCCUGAAUAGGUCCUCACGGUUUUAAAGUUACGGCGUUCCGUACGUAUUAGCGUCUUUGGAAUCGAAAAUAAUAAAGAAUAAACUACAACAUAGCAUUUCCGAGACGCAUCCAUCUUAUACGAUUACGUUUUAGUUUUUUCACGAAAAAAGAGAAACGAACAACCUCAAUAGAGCAACAAGUUGAAUUAUAUUGGUACUAGUUGUUUAAACCAAAAAUGAAAAGUUAAAAGAAAAAAAAAAAAAAAAAAGGGAUGCAACACGAGGACUUCCCGGGAAGUCACCCAUCCUAGUACUACUCUCGCCCAAGCGCGCUUAACUGCGGAGUUCUGAUGGGAUCCGGUGCAUUAGUGCUGGUAUGAUCGCAUCCGUUAGUACAUUGCAUACAAUCGCAUAUAUCCUUUACCGAGGAUUCAAGAGAUCAUUUGUAGUGGGUCCCACUUGAUACGUGGACCGCUUUAGCCAGCUUCAACGUGCUCUUUUAUUUGGAAAAGACGCAUAAAUCAUGUCCGAACACUUUUUCGAUCAUUUAAUCUCUUACAAAUCACAAAAACCUCAUGGAAACACACUAAACGUCAAAAUUUGGGGUCGAACACAGGGCCCAAUGGUACGAAAACCCAUUGCCACAUUGUAACUUUUCGAGAGCUUUCCGAAAAGGUAUUAUCGCCUGAAUAGGUCCUCACGGUUUUAAAGUUACGGCGUUCCGUACGUAUUAGCGUCUUUGGAAUCGAAAAUAAUAAAGAAUAAACUACAACAUAGCAUUUCCGAGGACGCAUCCAUCUUAAUACGAUUACUUUUUAGUUUUUUCAACAAAAAAAAGAGAAACGAACAACCUCAAUAGAGCAACAAGUUGAAUUAUAUUGGUACUAGUUGUUUAAACCAAAAAUGAAAAGUUAAAAGAAAAAAAAAAAAAAAAAAGGGAUGCAACACGAGGACUUCCCGGGAGGUCACCCAUCCUAGUACUACUCUCGCCCAAGCACGCUUAACUGCGGAGUUCUGAUGGGAUCCGGUGCAUUAGUGCUGGUAUGAUCGCAUCCGUUAGUACAUUGCAUACAAUCGCAUAUAUCCUUUACCGAGGAUUCAAGAGAUCAUUUGUAGUGGGUCCCACUUGAUACGUGGACCGCUUUAGCCAGCUUCAACGUGCUCUUUUAUUUGGAAAAGACGCAUAAAUCAUGUCCGAACACUUUUUCGAUCAUUUAAUCUCUUACAAAUCACAAAAACCUCAUGGAAACACACUAAACGUCAAAAUUUGGGGUCGAACACAGGGCCCAAUGGUACGAAGACCCAUUGCCACAUUGUAACUUUUCGAGAGCUUUCCGAAAAGGUAUUAUCGCCUGAAUAGGUCCUCACGGUUUUAAAGUUACGGCGUUCCGUACGUAUUAGCGUCUUUGGAAUCGAAAAUAAUAAAGAAUAAACUACAACAUAGCAUUUCCGAGGACGCAUCCAUCUUAAUACGAUUACUUUUUAGUUUUUUCAACAAAAAAAGAGAAACGAACAACCCUCAAUAGAGCAACAAGUUUGAAUUAUAUUGGUACUAGUUGUUUAAACCAAAAAUGAAAAGUUAAAAGAAAAAAAAAAAAAAAAAAAGGGGAUGCAACACGAGGACUUCCCGGGAGGUCACCCAUCCUAGUACUACUCUCGCCCAAGCACGCUUAACUGCGGAGUUCUGAUGGGAUCCGGUGCAAUAGUGCUGGUAUGAUCGCAUCCGUUAGUAC
Molecule: long non-coding RNA, 4370 nt
Filed under: Capsella rubella
Lineage: Eukaryota; Viridiplantae; Streptophyta; Magnoliopsida; Brassicales; Brassicaceae
Description: long non-coding RNA (CRUB_LNC000598)
Source: RNAcentral